UACGGGGGGAGCAAGCGUUGUUCGGAUUUACUGGGCGUAAAGGGCGCGUAGGCGGCCACCGCAAGUCGACUGUGAAAUCUCCGGGCUUAACCCGGAAAGGUCAGCCGAUACUGCGGGGCUAGAGUGCAGAAGGGGCAACUGGAAUUCUCGGUGUAGCGGUGAAAUGCGUAGAUAUCAGGAGGAACACCAAUGGCGAAGGCAGAUCUCUGGGCCGUAACUGACGCUGAGGAGCGAAAGCAUGGGGGAGCGAACAGG
This 255-nucleotide ribosomal RNA is filed under the name uncultured bacterium. RNAcentral describes it as "partial 16S ribosomal RNA". It matches the Rfam family "Bacterial small subunit ribosomal RNA", at positions 524 to 776 of the family's 1533-position model. The record is from RNAcentral.